This 464-nucleotide non-coding RNA is filed under the name Pongo abelii (Sumatran orangutan). Lineage: Eukaryota; Metazoa; Chordata; Mammalia; Primates; Hominidae. The record is from RNAcentral.
AUUUGUAAAUACCUGUGACCUAGUGUCGUGAGCGCUUAGCAACACCUGACACACACUAAGCUCUCAAUAAGUGGUAGCUUUAGUAUUACCAUUAUAUCCCAAUUAGUACAAGCACCUUACCUUUAUGCUUUCAUGGUUGUUCUAGGCCAGUGGUUCUGAAAGUGGUUCUAGACCAGCAACAACAGCAGUAGCAGCAGCACCUGUGAACUUGUUAGAAAUGCAAAGUUUCAGGCCCGUUCCAGUUCUACUGAAUCUGAAACUCGAAGGGAACAGCAACCUAUGUUUUAAUAAACCCCAAGAACUAUGGCUCCUUAACGCAGAAGGGCCCUUUUUUCUCAAAACAACCUCUGCAAGAUGUAACCUUGACUUCCCAGGAAAAUGAAAGGUAGUUAACAAUUUCCCCCAUCACCUAUGUAACUCCCUAAAUAAAUAAAAAUUACAGGCAGUUGCUCCUGGAGAUUACA